This 2518-nucleotide long non-coding RNA is filed under the name Homo sapiens (human). RNAcentral describes it as "HSALNT0332119". The record is from RNAcentral. Lineage: Eukaryota; Metazoa; Chordata; Mammalia; Primates; Hominidae.
UUAAUCCAUUCAUAGAUUAAUGGAUUAAUGAAUUAAAGGGUUGUUUUGGGAGUGGCUGGCUUUAUGACAGGAAGAGAGGCCUGUGCCUGCCCAGUGAGCUCUCUCCCCACAAGAUGCCCUGUGCUGUCAUGAGACUCUGCAGUGUCCCUACCAGCAGGAAGGCUCUCCCCAAAUGCAGCCCCUUGACCCUGGACUUCCCAGCCUCCAGAACUUGAGAAGAGGAACAAAUGGAGGAACAUCCCAGUCAAGUGACAUUCCUAGUGACAUUCACCAGAACAGAGUCAAGCUUUGGAUCCCAUGUUCUGUGACUUCCUCUUCACCACGCUUCCUCCACACACGUAGCAGCUCAAGGGUUUCUGAUGAGUGGGGUCUAUGUUCCCUUUAUGAGCUGUAACGCACACCAUGAAGGUCUGCGGCUUGGCUAUUGAGUCAGUGAGAGCGUGAACCUACUAUUAGAAGAAAAACUCUGAAUACGUCUGAACGUCAGAAAGAACGAAGUUUGGACACAUUGUCUUUAAGAACUGUAACACUCACCCCAAGGGUUUAUGGAUUCAUUCUUGAAAUCAGUGAAACCAAAAGCUUUCCAAAGUUUAACACACAGGGAAAUGACUUACUGCAAAGAACCACUCUUCCCCACGAGACUUCGAGAAGACCCGCUGUCACGGACUGAGUUGUGUCCUCUUAAAAUUCAGAUGUUGGAGUCCAAACCCCCAGUAACUCAGAGUGUGAACGUAUUUGAAGAGGUCUUUAAAGAGGUGAUGAAGGUCUUUGUCUCUGACAAUUUGCCUCUGUGACGUGGAUGGGACUGGAAGUCCAUUUGGAGCCCUGUCUUCUCCACCUAGGGAGAGAGACCCCAUGAGCUCGUCAAGCUCCUUCUGUGACUGAUCAGAGAUCCCACCGUGAGUCCAGCUCCUGGUCCCAUGCUCUGGAUAUAUCGGUCCCUGGCAGCGUGAGUGCCUCUGUGUUCACUGUCCCAUUUGAGAAUUCUAAGUAGAAUUCUGAACAGGCUGGAGCAGAUUGCCCACCCCAAGGGACAGAUGUUGGCUGGUACUGUUGGUAUUCAUGGAAGAUUCCUUCUGACACUCCCUCCUUCUUUGUAAUUGCCAUGAACUGGAGCACUGGGCCAAUAUAAAUCAUCCAAGGGUGAACACGCUGCACAUGGACGGCUCCUCUUUGUUUUUGAAGGGAUUCCAUCUCUAUUUUGCCAUGUGCUCCUUCACCCCACUCCCCACCCCCGUCUUUCAUUUCUUUCUCUGGAAAAGAUACUUCAACUCACAGGACUGCGAUGUUGAAACGGACACCCAAGAGCAUCACAGAUGGGCCAGGCCUGGACCUCUCGGGACAACAUUCCUCACGACUUUUAGAUAGAAGAGAUUAGAGAUUUGGGACUGGUGGCAACUGGUAACGUUUUCAGUGUUUGGUAAACAGCCAGGGUCCGGAGCUCUGGGAACAGCCUGAUUUAGCUCUUUGUUUAAGUUUUGUGUUAGAGGCUCCCAAGAAGCUGAUGCAGGGGAAAGAAAUUAACAACCAUGGCUCAUUCACAGCCAGGCAGCCAAAUGGACAGCUCUAUAAGACUCAAGCCGACAGCGGAGAGAGUGCAACCAAACAGCCUUGGCCCAGCUUUCAGAGGAGAACGUUAUUCACCCCAACUGCUCUGCAUCUGCCUGGAUGUCUGCCAAGAUCUGUGAGCAUUACAGCGUUGGUAUGCUUUGGGUGAGGCCUGUGGCUAUGGCAACAAGUUGGGAGCAACCCGGUCCCUGGGAAUGAGAACAGUGUCUAAAAUCAGGCAGGCGAGGGGCAGGGAGGAGAGGUAAAGGUUGGACUUGCCUGAAGAUGGAGCCGUUUUAUUGUUGUGGGUAAAGCUGCUACCAUUAGGGGCUGUUUACAGAGUGGGUGCAGCUCAAGCUGGGAGCAUGUUAGACUCAGCGACUACGAUCAACCUAUUGACUUGUUCCCAUGAGACAGAGUAAAUUAACUGUUGCAGUACUGGUCAUGUACCACCAACCUCCUGUGAACCAGCCCUCAGUGAAACAUUUAUGUGAAAGGCCAUGGUGUUCCCAUAAGAGGGUGCAUGUUCUCUCCCUUGACUAACUCUUCAGUAUGCCUCAUUCUCACGCGCUGGUGUGCAGGAAGGAGUCCAACAUGCCCCAUUGACAGUCAUGCCCUGUAUGUGGAAAGUCUUCAGGUAGAGCACUGGGCUCAGGUUUGAAGAUGUGAGUUCUAAUCCUAGCAAGGCCAUUACCUCCCAGUGACCUCAUGUCUCGAUUUCCUCAACCACAAAACAAAGGCAUUGGUGAGCUGACCUCUAAGGCCUCUCCAGUUCUCACCUUCUGUGUCUCUACAGACUGGAGACUAGAAGAUUAUGGGCACUUUUAUUGAGUCUUCAUUUUGUUUCCAUUUCUUUGUAGUCAUCAGCUGGAGUUGAGGACAAGUUUUAACAAUAGAUAGGUUUCUUUUUGUCUCUUUUUAAAAAAUUUUAUUUAAAAUAAAUGCCAAGUGUAGUGGCUCAUACCUGUAA